GCAUCGUUGAGGAGUCCCACAAUAGGACGAAACGGCUGUCCAGUGC
Non-coding RNA from Schistosoma mansoni, 46 nucleotides. The record is from Rfam. Lineage: Eukaryota; Metazoa; Platyhelminthes; Trematoda; Strigeidida; Schistosomatidae.